UACAUCUACCACCAUAAUUAUUGCCAUCCCUGCAGAUAGUAAGGUCUUUAGUUGACUAACAACAGUACCUGGAGGCAAUAUUAAAUGAUCCGCUGCCAUACUCUGAGCACUAGGCUUCAUUUUCCAAUUCACAGUGGGAGGUUUAACUGGAAUCAUACUAUCGCUAGAUAUCAUUCCACAUGAUACAUAUUAUGUUGUAAUACAUUUCCAUUAUGUCCUGUCAGUA
Molecule: long non-coding RNA, 226 nt
Filed under: Homo sapiens (human)
Lineage: Eukaryota; Metazoa; Chordata; Mammalia; Primates; Hominidae
Description: non-protein coding lnc-ZNF791-8:1
Source: RNAcentral